CCUGGCGGCGAUAGCGCGGUGGUCCCACCUGACCCCAUGCCGAACUCAGAAGUGAAACGCCGUAGCGCCGAUGGUAGUGUGGGGUCUCCCCAUGU
Molecule: ribosomal RNA, 95 nt
Filed under: Klebsiella aerogenes
Lineage: Bacteria; Pseudomonadati; Pseudomonadota; Gammaproteobacteria; Enterobacterales; Enterobacteriaceae
Also listed under: 3 other names
Source: RNAcentral